This 384-nucleotide ribosomal RNA is filed under the name Acanthamoeba genotype T3. Its description in RNAcentral is "SSU rRNA". It matches the Rfam family "Eukaryotic small subunit ribosomal RNA", at positions 766 to 1116 of the family's 1831-position model. Lineage: Eukaryota; Discosea; Longamoebia; Acanthamoebidae. The record is from RNAcentral.
UUAGAGUGUUCAAAGCAGGCAGAUCCAAUUUUCUGCCACCGAAUACAUUAGCAUGGGAUAAUGGAAUAGGACCCUGUCCUCCUAUUUUCAGUUGGUUUGCCGCGAGGACCAGGGUAAUGAUUAAUAGGGAUAGUUGGGGGCAUUAAUAUUUAAUUGUCAGAGGUGAAAUUCUUGGAUUUAUGAAAGAUUAACUUCUGCGAAAGCAUCUGCCAAGGAUGUUUUCAUUAAUCAAGAACGAAAGUUAGGGGAUCGAAGACGAUCAGAUACCGUCGUAGUCUUAACCAUAAACGAUGCCGACCAGCGAUUAGGAGACGUUGAAUACAAAACACCACCAUGCGCAUUGCGGUCGUCUUUGGUGUCGCUCACAAGGCGGCACCGGGGCGG